UACGUAGGGUGCAGGCGUUAAUCGGAAUUACUGGGCGUAAAGCGCGCGUAGGCGGCUAUUCAAGUCAGAGGUGAAAGCCCGGGGCUCAACCCCGGAACUGCCUUUGAAACUAGAUAGCUAGAAUCUUGGAGAGGCGAGUGGAAUUCCGAGUGUAGAGGUGAAAUUCGUAGAUAUUCGGAAGAACACCAGUGGCGAAGGCGACUCGCUGGACAAGUAUUGACGCUGAGGUGCGAAAGCGUGGGGAGCGAACAGG
RNAcentral lists this ribosomal RNA (253 nucleotides) under uncultured bacterium. Its description in RNAcentral is "partial 16S ribosomal RNA". It matches the Rfam family "Bacterial small subunit ribosomal RNA", at positions 524 to 776 of the family's 1533-position model. The record is from RNAcentral.